GUGUCCAUGUGGCUCAGAGGAUAAGGAGACUGACUGGCACUCUGGAGGUUGUGGGUUCAAGCCUCACCUUACCCG
Non-coding RNA from Xyrichtys novacula (pearly razorfish), 75 nucleotides. The record is from the annotation of a GenBank genome assembly. NCBI's taxonomy places the organism in Eukaryota, Metazoa, Chordata, Actinopteri, Labriformes, Labridae.